This 1966-nucleotide long non-coding RNA is filed under the name Capsicum annuum. RNAcentral describes it as "long non-coding RNA (CANN_LNC008661)". Lineage: Eukaryota; Viridiplantae; Streptophyta; Magnoliopsida; Solanales; Solanaceae. The record is from RNAcentral.
ACCUUUGGAAAUCCUUUUCAAAAUGGUUUGACUCUAAAAACUGAUCCACGAACAGAGAUUUCGGUUAAGGAAUUCUGUUGACCGAGGGAAAGGUGUUAGGCACCCCUUGGUCCCGUGGUUCAACUACAGUCUCUUCGUGGAGUAUAUCAACUAGUACGACACUAUGAAUAUAUAAGCCACAUUAAACACACAAAACAAUCAAACAAACAAAUAAACAAAACAAGUUCAAAAAUAUAGUGUCUAGUCCAAUUAUUACAGUCCAAAAUAAAAGAUACUUAAAUGAAACUACGCUAACCUACACUAUUCCUAAACUAUGCUCUACCCAAUGCCUCGGGCCUUGACCACGAUCAUCUUUCGCCAACAUAAUACGUCGAGGUAUUCUCCAGUGAAUAAAUACAAUGAGCCUCGGGGCAUUUUCCGGCUAAAUGAAUACAUUUAAUGAAAUGAAAUAAAAAUGGAGAAAUCACUCAACAUAAACAUUUACACAUUUGAUGAUUAGAAUCUUACGAGUUGCCUACCCCAAAACCUAGAAUUCGCCUAUUGAUUUAAAGAUCUAAUCAUGAUACUAUCGUGUUCAACAACAUUCAUAUUUAAACCAAACUAAAAAAACAUCAAUAAAUCUAAAUUAAUCCAUGUUCACCUUUUUAUCCAUUUUUUCAUUUUCGUCCCCAAUUACAUUCACAAUCACAUGCAGUUACUCAAUUUUAAGAUAGCAAUCCAGGAAACGACACUCCACAUUAUUCAAAUAUACUCAAAACAUACCAACAAAUCACAAAAUCCACCACAUUUAAAUCACGCAAUCAAUAUCAAACACCAUAUUAAAAUAUAAAUGAAAGAAGAACAGAGUUGAUGAAUCAAACUUCAAUCAAUGAUUUUAUUUCGAUUAAACCGGAUUACUUGAUCGAGAAUCGUCAGACCUCAAUACAAAUCAAAACUCGACAAACUUUGAUCACGAACUCAGUUUAAUCACCAAAUCAGACCAAAAAAUAUUGAAAUAACGAACAAAUUUUACCUAAAUGGGAUUGGAAUCAGAAUUUCGCUGGAUUAUCUUUAUUUUCAUGGACUAACUGUAACUGUGUCGCUGACUUCCCAAUGGAUUUGAACUAUUUUGAAGAGUUUCCAGCAAGAUAUUUUAUUGCCGGAAAAGGAACAACAACAGUGGACUAUUUGGUCGGGUUUGGGGAUAUCAUCGGUGGUAUUUGGGUACUUUGGUCGGUGAUUUUUUGGUGGAGCCGUUUUGGUUGAAAAUGGCAGUGGGUUUGCAGUCGAACAGUGAUGGAGUUACGAUUCUGGCGAGAAUUCAUCGGAAAAUCUAUUCCUCUUCGAUUUUCUCUUCUUUUUCAACUUUCUAUGCUUGUCUUGAUCUCUCCCUCUCAUUGUUCUCUCUCGAUCUUCUUUCUUUGUCCGUUCAAUCUCUCUCGCUCAAUUCAUAGCAUUUUUGUGUGAGUUUAGUGUUGUUGUGUCAAUGAAAAAUAGAAAUAGUGAGGUGUGUCUCUAUCUAUAUGUAUCUGGUGGUGAGUGUGUGUAUAUAUCAAUGAGUGUAUUAGUGUUUUGUGAAAGAUUCUUCCCCCUCCCCUCAGCUUUCUCUAUUCCUCCAUUUUUAUAUAUCAGGUGUGUGUGAGUAUAUCCCCCUUUCUCUGAUGUGUGGUGUGUGUUUAUAUGUUUGGUGUAUGUGUGAUGUUUCUAUAAGUGCUUUGUAUGUAUAUUGAUGCAUGUGUGUAUGUAUAUGUGAUAGUGUAUAUGAAUAAUGUGUGCGUAUAUGGUCCCAAUUCUCUUUUGUGAGAGUGUUCAGCUACGUAUGUUAGUGUGGUCCCUGGAAUUGUGGAGUAUGUGGGUAUGUAUAUGUGUGUGUUAAUAUAAUAGUGAGUGGGUUUUUUAGUGUGUAUGUAAGGUGUGUGUUCUGUGUGUUUAUUAUUCUUUGAAUGAUGUAUUAAUGGUGAGAGUAUUUUUGGUGUGAUCUCUUUUU